RNAcentral lists this ribosomal RNA (644 nucleotides) under uncultured Actinomycetes bacterium. RNAcentral describes it as "bacterial SSU rRNA". It matches the Rfam family "Bacterial small subunit ribosomal RNA", at positions 232 to 885 of the family's 1533-position model. Lineage: Bacteria; Bacillati; Actinomycetota; Actinomycetes. The record is from RNAcentral.
CGCGGCCUAUCAGCUUGUUGGUGGGGUGAUGGCCUACCAAGGCGGUGACGGGUAGCCGGCCUGAGAGGGAGACCGGCCACACUGGGACUGAGACACGGCCCAGACUCCUACGGGAGGCAGCAGUGGGGAAUAUUGCGCAAUGGGCGGAAGCCUGACGCAGCGACGCCGCGUGGGGGAUGACGGCCUUCGGGUUGUAAACCUCUUUCGCCAGGGACGAAGAGCAAUUGACGGUACCUGGAGAAGAAGCACCGGCCAACUACGUGCCAGCAGCCGCGGUAACACGUAAGGUGCGAGCGUUGUCCGGAAUUAUUGGGCGUAAAGAGCUCGUAGGCGGUGUGUCGCGUCGGCCGUGAAAACUUGGGGCUUAACUCUGAGCGUGCGGUCGAUACGGGCAUCACUUGAGAUCGGCAGGGGAGACUGGAAUUCCUGGUGUAGCGGUGAAAUGCGCAGAUAUCAGGAGGAACACCGGUGGCGAGGGCGGGUCUCUGGGCCGAUACUGACGCUGAGGAGCGAAAGCGUGGGGAGCGAACAGGAUUAGAUACCCUGGUAGUCCACGCCGUAAACGUUGGGCGCUAGGUGUAGGGACCAUUCCACGGUUUCUGUGCCGCAGCUAACGCAUUAAGCGCCCCGCCUGGGGAGUACGG